ACAAGACAGUGACUGUGGAAUUCAAGCA
This 28-nucleotide non-coding RNA is filed under the name Cricetulus griseus (Chinese hamster). The record is from RNAcentral. Lineage: Eukaryota; Metazoa; Chordata; Mammalia; Rodentia; Cricetidae.